AGUUUCUUUUUGCGGCAAAAUAUGAUUUUGAAAGUCAUUAAGAGACGUUCGACUCGUCUAGAAACUU
RNAcentral lists this transfer RNA (67 nucleotides) under Pherusa bengalensis. Its description in RNAcentral is "tRNA-Ser". Lineage: Eukaryota; Metazoa; Annelida; Polychaeta; Terebellida; Flabelligeridae. The record is from RNAcentral.